AUAUAUCUGACGCAAUAAAUAUGUUGAGUAGUUUAAAAAAUGUAAAUAACAAUGCUAAUAAUGACAAUUUUGGUUAUACAGGAAUUGUAGGUAAUUAUUCCAAGUCAUUAACUACGAAUAUUGAUUCUAAGGAAUGUACAUAUGACAACGCUAUACGCGAUAACAUGCAUAUAAAUAGAAAAAAUUAUAAUAUAACAUCAAAUGAGCAAUUGAUAAAUAACAACCAAUCAAUUAAAACACUAAAUGAAAGUUUUAACAAAAUUAAAAACUAUUCAAAUAAAAUAAAUUCUGAUGUUUAUCCAACCCAUUCCAAUAUCCAUAGUGGCUAUUCAGAUACACCUAAACCAGAUAGUAAUAGUGGUAUGUAUGAUUUUAUUUUUAAAAAUGAUGGGUAUAAUAGUAAUAAAAACUAUACUAAUAACAAUACUAAUGACAACAUUGAAGUAAAUACAUAUACUGAUACAGAUGCUUUAUAUAUCAAUAAAAAUGCAUAUAAUAACGACUUAUUAUCACACAGAUUUAACAAUCCAAAACAAAUGCAAAAAAUAAAUGACAAUACCCUAGUUAAAGAUCCUUUUGAAUUUGAUGAUACUUAUAAUAAUGGACAGAAGGAGAAGGACGAGGAAAAUGAUAACAAGGUAAAAGUAAACCGAAUGGAAGGAAAAGAAAACAAAAUUAACAAUUAUGAAGAAUAUAAAGAUUUACUUAUUAAUAAUAAAACGAAUGUAAAUCAAAAUAUAACAGUCGAUAAAAAAAGAGGAUAUAUUACGAAUUUGUUACAUAAGACAUUUAACAAAUUCGUACCAAAUAUGAGCACAUAUGACGAGGUAAGUACAGCAAUAACUGGAGCACAAACUGAAGAAGGUACAAUUAAUAUACGUAAUAUAACAAAUAAUGGAAAUAAUAGAAAUAGUGGAAAUAAUGUAAAAACUGGAAAUAACAAUUUUAAUAAUAAUAACAUAAUAUAUAACAAAAUAAAUAUAAAUGACCUAUUGGAUAACAUUUUCGAAAGAUAUAAACCGUUUGAGCAGAUUAAAGAAAAUCAUAAGGAAAACAUAACAUAUAUAUAUCCCCCAUCAACCAUCUAUAAAGAUAAUGAAAUUACUAAAAAUGAUUUGAUAAUAAAAUUUAAUUGUCACAAAUAUGAAAAUAUAUCUUUAUUUUUAAAUUAUAAGACUACAAGUCCUAAUUUAAUGGAAACAAAAACCAAU
Molecule: long non-coding RNA, 1211 nt
Filed under: Piliocolobus tephrosceles (Ugandan red Colobus)
Lineage: Eukaryota; Metazoa; Chordata; Mammalia; Primates; Cercopithecidae
Description: lncRNA (ENSPTEG00000009414.1)
Source: RNAcentral